AGUGAGAUCUAUCCCUAUGGGGCUUCUCCAGGAGCCAGACAUUGUAGGAAACAUCUCAUACAGUAACACUUGUGGUUUGCUUGACUCACAGGAGUGUUUCUUAGGCCUGUGGGAAGGAAAUACAAGACAAUU
Nannospalax galili (Upper Galilee mountains blind mole rat) is the source of this 132-nucleotide small nucleolar RNA. The record is from Ensembl. Lineage: Eukaryota; Metazoa; Chordata; Mammalia; Rodentia; Spalacidae.